RNAcentral lists this ribosomal RNA (253 nucleotides) under uncultured bacterium. RNAcentral describes it as "partial 16S ribosomal RNA". It matches the Rfam family "Bacterial small subunit ribosomal RNA", at positions 524 to 776 of the family's 1533-position model. The record is from RNAcentral.
UACGUAGGGUGCAAGCGUUGCCCGGAUUUAUUGGGCGUAAAGGGCGCGUAGGCGGCUCUGCACGUUCGUUGUGAAAUCGCCCGGCUCAACUGGGCGGGGUCAGCGGAUACGGCAGAGCUUGAGCAAGCUAGGGGGCAAUGGAAUUCCCGGUGUAGUGGUGGAAUGCGUAGAUAUCGGGAGGAACACCGGUGGCGAAGGCGGUUCUCUGGGCCUUACCUGACGCUGAGGAGCGAAAGCGUGGGGAGCGAACAGG